GGGCGAUUAGCACAGUGGUAGCGNNNACACGGAAGAGGUCACUGGUUCGAAACCAGUAUCGCCCA
This 65-nucleotide transfer RNA is filed under the name Cyanobacteria bacterium UBA8543. RNAcentral's name for it is "tRNA-Ser". It matches the Rfam family "tRNA". Rfam says of the family: Transfer RNA (tRNA) molecules are approximately 80 nucleotides in length. Lineage: Bacteria; Bacillati; Cyanobacteriota. The record is from RNAcentral.